UUCAAAGGUAUGACCUGAAAAGGGAAUUUAGACAAUAU
Molecule: small nucleolar RNA, 38 nt
Filed under: Fusarium venenatum
Lineage: Eukaryota; Fungi; Ascomycota; Sordariomycetes; Hypocreales; Nectriaceae
Source: RNAcentral